AUGUUCAAAACUCACGAUGCACCACAUCGCUCCAUUUCAAGGGAGCUUAGUAUCCUUAGAGAUGCAUGCGAAGAGAUAUGUGCAAGCCCUCUGAUGAAGCGCAUUUCGGCGGUUCAAGUUUUGACAUAUGGGUGUUCGGCUGAUUUAAUCGACAACUAUGUCCGCACUAGAGAAGACACAAUCUUGAAGGUCGUUCAAAGGUUCACAAAAGCAGUGAAGUGGCGGAAGAUGUGGAGAAAGCCUUCACAAUCAUUCAUGGGCCCGCCGAGUACUAGAGCUCCAAGAUUCUAUGGCAAAUCAUAA
This 303-nucleotide ribosomal RNA is filed under the name Triticum aestivum (bread wheat). Its description in RNAcentral is "partial small subunit ribosomal RNA". The record is from RNAcentral. Lineage: Eukaryota; Viridiplantae; Streptophyta; Magnoliopsida; Poales; Poaceae.